RNAcentral lists this ribosomal RNA (492 nucleotides) under uncultured bacterium. RNAcentral's name for it is "partial 16S ribosomal RNA". It matches the Rfam family "Bacterial small subunit ribosomal RNA", at positions 29 to 507 of the family's 1533-position model. The record is from RNAcentral.
AGUGAACGCUGGCGGUAGGCCUAACACAUGCAAGUCGAACGGCAGCACAGUAAGAGCUUGCUCUUACGGGUGGCGAGUGGCGGACGGGUGAGGAAUACAUCGGAAUCUACUUUUUCGUGGGGGAUAACGUAGGGAAACUUACGCUAAUACCGCAUACGACCUACGGGGGAAAGCAGGGGAUCUUCGGACCUUGCGCGAUUGAAUGAGCCGAUGUCGGAUUAGCUAGUUGGCGGGGUAAAGGCCCACCAAGGCGACGAUCCGUAGCUGGUCUGAGAGGAUGAUCAGCCACACUGGAACUGAGACACGGUCCAGCCUCCUCCGGGAGGCAGCAGUGGGGAAUUUUGGACAAUGGGCGCAAGCCUGAUCCAGCCAUACCGCGUGGGUGAAGAAGGCCUUCGGGUUGUAAAGCCCCUUUGUUGGGAAAGAAAAGCAGCAGGUUAAUACCCCGCUGUUCUGACGGUACCCAAAGAAUAAGCACCGGCUAACUUCGUG